AAAAGACACUUUCAAUCAUUCCAGGAGGUUCCUUGCAGGUGCGGGGGUCGGAGUGAAGACGAGGGGUCGGAGGUCGCGGACGACGCGUCACUGCGUCAGCGCCAGCAGAAUGUCUUUGACCAGCAUGGUGCCGAUCACCAUCUUCUCGCAGUUGACCGUCAGCUGGGCGCCGCCCUCCUCCUUGGUCGCCACGGUGACCAGCACCAGGCUGCCGCUGGUCACCGUCUUGCCGGCGAACCUGUGUGCGGGAAGAAGAAAAGGAGGAGGGAGAGGAGGACUGAGGUCAAAGCAGCAGAGUGAAAGAAAGUGAAAGGGCACUCUGCUGAGGUUGGCGGCCGUGGCCACCUUCUGGACGAUGGCGUGUUCGUUACGGCACUUCUCAUCUAAAGUGAGCUUCUCCGUGAUCUCGUUCAUGCCCAUCAGCUGACCUGGAGGAGGACGAGGAAGCAGCGGAGUAGACGGCCAUCAAUAAACGCUGAUCAUCAAAGGUUUUAGGCCCCGCCACAGCACUGAAACAGUUCUGAUCAAGGUGACAAAUGGUAUCGCCCUGAACACAGAUGCAGGAAAAGUCUCAGUCUUGGUUCUGCUGGACCUGAGCCGCUGCCUUGACACAAUUGACCAUACUAUCUUAAUACAGAGGUUAGAAAAUUGCUCUUAACUGUUUCAAGUCCUAGCUAGAUCACAGGUCAUACUUUGUUGAAAUUGGUUGCUGUGUCUCUGACCAAUUGGCUGUGACUUGUAGGGUUUCUAAGGGCUGAAUACUGGGUGCCCACAUCGGCGGUCCCCUCCAAAGUUUCUUGUUGUUCCUAUUGGGUUGAGUUUUUUUCUUGCCCCUAUGUGGGAUCUGAGCCGAAGAUGUCGUUGUGGCUUGUGCAGCCCUUUGAGAUACUUGUGAUUAAGGGCUAUAUAAAUAAACUUUGAGUGGCUUUCAGACCCUCUCCCUGAAACCCAAUAAUCAGGUUGGAAGUUUAGGUGUAAUAAUGGACUCAGACUUGAACUUUAACAGCCACAUUAAGUCGAUAACAUCAGCAGCUUUUCAACCACCUGAAAAACUUUGCCAAAAUCAUAGGAAUAAUGUCUAAAUCCAACUUAGAAAGACUGAUCCAUGCCUUUGUCUCCAGCAGGUUAGACUACUGUAAUGGCCUUCUCACCAGGCUCUCUAAACGAACUGUCAAGCAGCUGCAGUACAUCCAGAAUGCUGCUGCUCGAGUCCUGACUAAAACCAGGAAAUACGACCAUAUUAGUCCAUGGUCUCAGUCACUGCACUGGCUUUCUGUUGCUCAGAGAAUAGACUUUAAGACAGCUCUGCUUGUGUGCAAGUCUUUUCAUGGUCUGACAUUUUAGAACCAUAUGGCCUCUGAGGAACCCCAAGAAGUGGUCUCCUGCUGGUGCCCAGAGCUAGGACCAAACAUGCGUUUACUACAAUCUGGAAUAGUAUUCCAAAAGAUGUGAGACAGGCCUCAACACUGGCAAUGUUGAAAUCCAGGCUAAAACUAUUUUAUUUAAUGUUGCAUUGCAACUGAAAGUAUUUUGUCUACACUCUUUGAUUUUAAUUUGAAUUAUAAUAGUUUGUGUGUUUAAUUAGAAUUCUGAUUUAUUUUAUUUUUGGUUUUGCCUUCUUGUGAUUUUCUGUACAGCACUUUGGAUUGCCUUGUGUACAAAUUGUGCUCUAUAAAUACACUUGCCUUGCUUUGCCAUUAUGGAUUAGUUUAGGUGUCUGCUGGCUCCAAAUCAGCCCUGAAGUCAUCCAGCAGCUCAAAGAUGGAAUUGCUGGAUAAAUAACAUGUCUAAUAUUGAGGAAGGGAGGAGAGGAUUCUCUCUCUGACAAAAUCCUCAGCGCAAAAGCUUUUACUUAGUUUACAGGUGUUU
Entelurus aequoreus (snake pipefish) is the source of this 1869-nucleotide long non-coding RNA. RefSeq lists it as uncharacterized. The transcript is spliced from 3 exons. The record is from RefSeq and is a predicted model, not a curated record. Lineage: Eukaryota; Metazoa; Chordata; Actinopteri; Syngnathiformes; Syngnathidae.